Callithrix jacchus (white-tufted-ear marmoset) is the source of this 62-nucleotide small nuclear RNA. Its record names the gene U7. It matches the Rfam family "U7 small nuclear RNA". Rfam says of the family: Animal histone pre-mRNAs are spliced by a different mechanism than nuclear pre-mRNAs and self-splicing introns. This processing involves the U7 snRNP, which contains only one RNA species: U7. The record is from Ensembl. NCBI's taxonomy places the organism in Eukaryota, Metazoa, Chordata, Mammalia, Primates, Cebidae.
UAGUGUUACAGCUCUUUUAGAAUUUAUCUAGCAGGCAUUCUGUUUCUUGCCGAAAAUCCCCC